This 3980-nucleotide long non-coding RNA is filed under the name Nicotiana tabacum (common tobacco). RNAcentral describes it as "long non-coding RNA (NTAB_LNC001028)". Lineage: Eukaryota; Viridiplantae; Streptophyta; Magnoliopsida; Solanales; Solanaceae. The record is from RNAcentral.
GUAAGCCUAACAUUAACUAAAUUAACAUUGACAUUUACUAACUUCAAAUUAAAUAACUCUGAAUAAAUCACAAUUCCCAAAACCGGUGAUACAAGUCAUAAGCCUUUCUAAGAGUAGUUAUACAAAAUAAAUACAACAUUGUUCCAGAACGAGAAGGAAUCGAUGGAACAUAAAUACAAACGAAGGUGACUCCGUGGCCUGCGAACGCAGCAACAGGUUACCGUGAGUCUCCACCGCGACGACCCGUACAACUACUAUUGAUCAAUAUCUGGAUCUUUACACAAAAAUAUACAGAAGUGUAGUAUGACCAUACCACGACGGUGCCCGGUAAGUAUCAAGACUAACCUCGGUGGGGUAGUGACGAGGAACAGUCAAGACACCUACUAGUCAAAUGAAAUGAACAUGAUAUGAUUAUAAAAUAUCAAGAUAAAGAUAAUGAGGUAAUAUCAACAGCGGAGAGAAAUCAAAAUACAAACAGUAGGGACAAUAAAGGGAGAACACGGGUAGUAACAAACGGUAACCAAGUAAAUCAGAUAACUAAAUAAAUCAACACUGACAUAACAGGGACAGAGACAAGUAAGAAUGUAUUCAAAUAAAGAAGGUAAUGCCAACUCAACAAUCACAUCAUGUCUAAUACACAAUCCCAACCAUCUUAAUCCUCGGUUUCUCAUAUCAUAAUCUCAACUUCCGAACCUUCAGCACACAUGGCACCUUGUGCCCACAUAUUUUCCAUCUCACUUUUAACAACAAAAUCCACAUGCUAACAAUACAUAAUGUCCGUACAAAUGCACUCAAUAUGUUCACGAAGUCUCAUUUACAUAAUAUAAAGUAAAUUACAAUUUCUAAACUAAUUAGGAAAAAUCAGCGAGAAAAGAUAAAGUUGUUUUUAGAAAUCAUUUGAGUAAAGAAAGUACUCCGUUCAAUUAAAAUACAACAUCGAAUGAAUUAUUACCUUUAACAUGGGAGUUAAUAACUUAAAACUUAGUAGAAAUUCCUUUUAAGUAAAAUACAACCUCAGACGGUUUAAGGGAAUAUAAAUGAGAAACUAAUUGAAUUAAAAAUGUAACAAUUAUUGAAGCCUGAAGUAUUGAAAUGUAUAUAUGUAAAUACGGCAAGGUAUUGAAAACACUGUAGGUUCCAACACAAAGAAUCACAGUAGUAAAUGACUUUAAACAGUUAAAACACUUGAAUUGAUAACAACAAAUAAACACAGCAAACAGAAAGUGCACGGCAUCACCCUCCGUGCUUUAACUCUCAAUCCUCACCAUGUAAUCAAUAAUAGAAAUGUGCACGGCAUCACCCUUCAUGCUCUAUCACUCUUCCUCACCAUAUGAAUCAUAUAAAUAUGCACGACAUCACCCUUCGUGCUUUAUCACUCUACCUCGCCAUAUGAAUAGUAUAAAUGUGCAUGACAUCACUCUCCGUGCUUUAUCACUCUUCCUCACCAUAUGAAUAGUAUAAAUGUGCAUGGCAUCACCCUUCGUGCUUUAUCUCUCUUCCUUACUAUAUGCAUCAAUAUAAAUGUAAAAGUGCACGGCAUCACCCUUCGUGUUUUAUCUCUCUUCCUCACCAUAUGCAUCAAUAUAAAUGUAAAUGUGCACAAUAAGGCAUGAAAGAAGUGGAAUUUCCUAACAGUUCUAUAGCCUUUCGAAGAUAAGUACAGACGUCUCUGUACCGAUCCGCAAGACUCUACUAAACCUGCUUAUGACUCGUAGCACCUAUGUACCUAGAACUCUGAUACCAACUUGAGCCAAUACUCAACAACGGUCAAAUACCAAGGAAAUACUAUAAGCCUGGUCCAACAUGAAUUCUCAUCAAGUCAAGCAUGAAUAGUACAUAAUAAGGAUCACAGAAAAACCAAGAAGCACACUAACCUUAACAAGACAACAAGACAUAAUAAACACGUGAUAACUACACCGGUAAUCACAACAAUUGGACAUGUAACACUGUCACAACCCUUUUUUGCACCAACUUCAAACCCUCUUAAAAAUAUUAAAAAGAUUUUGAAACUCGAAAGGGUUUUCCAAUUAGAAAGUGACAAUAAUUUGUGUUUUCAAAAGGAUUAACUUAGAGUCGCCACCUGAAAUUGAUUUCGGUGUGUCAGGUCAUCGUUUUUAAAAAUAAUUUUUCCUUUUAAAAUACUUAGGACUCCAAAACUAAGUCUGCACCAGAGAUUCGGGUAAGGGGGUUCAUUUGACUCGGGGUGAGGGUGUUAGACAUUCCCUGAGUCCCGUAACUAGUACAGUUGCGUACAUGAUCAGUUGGAUUUUAAAAUAUUCAAAUUGAGGUAAAAACAUACAAAAAGAAAAUAAAUAAUCAAAAGAGGCUCGAGGUCGCCCCCACCUAAUAAAAUAAAAAAUAAAUAUAAAGCAAGAAUAAAAUUACUACGAGUUCUGCUUUUGGCCUCCAAUUACAGAAUACUACGGGGCAUUCCCCGGAAUAAAAUAUAUAUACAAACUCUUUGGGGCAUUCCCCUGAUGAAACCAUGAUAAACUAAAGUGACGACCUCUCGCCUCAAAACUUAUAAAAAUCCUAAAGUUUGCCUACCCAGGUGAUGACGGCCUAAACAUGUUACUAACGGUCAAUGUACUAAGGCAAAUAAUAUAAAUAGAAAUAAAAUAACUAAAUAAAUAAAAAUAAAUUAAAACAUGUAAUAAUUUAAUUAUGCUUGGCCUUUCCCCAUUCCCACGGCACAGGACUUUUAGAACAUCCAAGCAAUCAUCUAACCUACUCAACUUUGUUAACUCAAUUUUUAUCACUAUAUUAUCAAUCCUAAAGCCUUGAAUACUUUAACUUUUAAUAAGGCAUUACAAACGGAACUCCAAAUUUACUUCAGCUACUAAGAAUUCAUCCGAAUAUAAAAUUACAUAAAAGAAACACACAAACAAUAAUCAAAAGAACCCCAAAAAAACGCAAAUAAAUUCUACCAAGGCAUCACGAGCAAAAAUGAAACAUUAAUUCAAAGAUCAACAAAGCAGAUCAAAGAGUGAUUAACAAGAUUACUGGAAGCAUGAAAUUAAGUUAAAAUAGUAAAAGAGGGGGACGAAUAGACCUCGAUCAGAUCUGGAAUUUGACUGUUUGACAGUUCGACAAUGCUAAGCAACAGAACCGCGAACCUCGACCCCGGAAAAAAAACCUCGAAUAGUGACCUCGAAUCAAGAGGCAGCCACAGAACUCAAACAAACUCCUUGAACAGAAUUGAAUCAAUUUCCAUUGAAAUCAGAAGAAGCAAAAACUUUGAAAUUCAAAUGAACUCCAUAACAAAACUGAAAAUUGAAAUCGGCAAGAAGAAGAGCACUGAAAUUUAUUUUUGUUCUUUUUUUGAUUUGUGAAAUUCAAAUAAAUUGGAAAAUCGUAAAGGAAAACUGAAGAAUAUCCAAUUUCUCAAAGACCCUAGAAUCCCUCUAUAUUGUUUGCUGCUCUCCCUUCCUAUGUCUCACUCCCGUUUUUCUUUUGUUCUUUGGGUUGAAAAUCCUCGCUGCUCACCCUGUUUUCUCCUCUUACUGUGUGUGUGUGUGUGUGUCUUUGGGUGGUCGGCGAGAGUGGUGGAGCAAGGAGCAUGGGCGGGGGGUUUCUGGUAUUUUUUGGAGAUGGUGUCCGGCAAAGAUGGUGAGUUAGGCGGCUGAGCUUUUGGGUUCGAGUAUUUGCCGCUGGAGAAGGGGUUCAAAAAGAAGGGGCUGGCGGUGCUUGUCUAUUUUUGGAGAGGAGGCGCUGGUUUUGUGAAGUCAGGGGUGUGGUGGGCGGCUGAAGGGUUCAGGGUAUUCUCUAGGGUUUUUUGGUAGUGUGUACAUGAAGAAGAUGAAGAUGGCUGGACCUUGGAGAGGAGACGGCGGCAGCUGGGCUGCUCCCUUAGGGAUGGCGGCGGUGGUUAGGUGCUGAAGAAGUUUUCUAGAGUUUGUAGUGAAAGAGAUGAGGAAUAAAAGGGAAGAUGGGUCAUGGGUCUUGAGCUUCAUAUUUGGGUCUUAAAAUUGGACUAAAAG